CGCGUAGACGGUAAAGCAAGUCUGAAGUGAAAGCCCGGGGCUCAACCCCGGGACUGCUUUGGAAACUGUUUAACUAGAGUGCUGGAGAGGUAAGCGGAAUUCCUAGUGUAGCGGUGAAAUGCGUAGAUAUUAGGAGGAACACCAGUGGCGAAGGCGGCUUACUGGACAGUAACUGACGUUGAGGCUCGAAAGCGUGGGGAGCAAACA
This 207-nucleotide ribosomal RNA is filed under the name uncultured bacterium. Its description in RNAcentral is "partial 16S ribosomal RNA". It matches the Rfam family "Bacterial small subunit ribosomal RNA", at positions 568 to 774 of the family's 1533-position model. The record is from RNAcentral.